RNAcentral lists this small nucleolar RNA (212 nucleotides) under Candida tropicalis MYA-3404. Its description in RNAcentral is "Fungal small nucleolar RNA U3". It matches the Rfam family "Fungal small nucleolar RNA U3". From Rfam's summary of the family: Small nucleolar RNAs (snoRNAs) are involved in the processing and modification of rRNA in the nucleolus. There are two main classes of snoRNAs: the box C/D class, and the box H/ACA class. Lineage: Eukaryota; Fungi; Ascomycota; Pichiomycetes; Serinales; Debaryomycetaceae. The record is from Rfam by way of RNAcentral.
GUCGACGUACUUCAUAGGAUCAUUUCUAUAGGUCACGACCCUCUUUUGAUUCUUCAAAAGAGCCACUGAAUCCAACUUGGAUGAUGAGGGAAAUCCACUAUACUUACGAGGGAGAUAAUAUUUGCUCAUCUUUUCUAAGAAGAGCGCGAUGAACUUUAUCUAAUGUUUCUUUUUGAGACAAAUUAGAUGGUAUAAGUGGCGGUCUGACAAGU